UAGCGGCAGUCGCCGGUUGCACGGUUCUUCGCCGCUUAGCUGCAACCGCUGGCGGGUCGAGUGUACGCGCUUCGAUUUCGACCGAAAAAUUCCUAUUCGUGACAUGCUACCGUACAGUUGCGCCGAGUAUUGAUACCGUGUUGUGGUUCUGUAGUGGUUGGAUUUUUAUUUCCUUUCUUUUACGUACCUUGUCUCUUUGACUACAUUUCUGAGGAAAGUUGUUAUUGAAUUUAGCUCGAUCGACAAGGACAGGAGUUUUUUUCCCAAAAUCGUCUGCGAAACUUUUAUCAUACUUUUUUUGUUGAUAUUUUGCAUAAUCCCGCGAAAAUGGAUUCACGGAGAAAACUGCAGAGGGCUAUCCUUCAUCUCCUGAUGCAGCUCAUCUAUACAGUUUUGAAAAAGAAGGGGAGAUGAUUGUUCAGCAAUUGUAAAACGGCUGCACGAGGCAAAAACGGUCGAGAGCCACUGCUCUAGAAAAUAUGUCUGAUAGAAAGUGUUAUAUAUUCCAUAUGUUUAUAGCUUUUGAUGUGAAUUAUGACUUAUUUAUUUUCUUAGGAAUCAUUUUUAGUUUAGUAUUAUGGUCUUCAAUUUAUCGACCCAAGGAUUGCAUACAUAUAUAAAGUUUGUAACAGAAAAUAUAAAAUAAUACUGCUCUUUUAAAGCAAAAUUUAAUUUUAUAUUUAGCUCUGACCUAUAUUCCGGUCAUCCGUCUUCUAUGUGUUAAUGGCUGUCGAAUAUUGGCACAUGUAUCUUUCUGCAAAAAUAUGAUUUGGCGCGUUCUGUCUUGUAACAUAAAUGAUCAAAUAAUGCUGCUUUUUUUAAAGCAAAAUUUAAUUUUUUAUUUAUCCUUUUUGCUUCUGAAUACAAAUCUAGAAUAUGUUUUGAGUAUAAUAUAAAAUAUAAAUAAGAAAUUAAAGUUUCGUCUUAUCUCUU
Long non-coding RNA from Stegodyphus dumicola, 933 nucleotides. RefSeq lists it as uncharacterized. The record is from RefSeq and is a predicted model, not a curated record. Lineage: Eukaryota; Metazoa; Arthropoda; Arachnida; Araneae; Eresidae.